RNAcentral lists this long non-coding RNA (1058 nucleotides) under Chinchilla lanigera (long-tailed chinchilla). Its description in RNAcentral is "lncRNA (ENSCLAG00000028653.1)". Lineage: Eukaryota; Metazoa; Chordata; Mammalia; Rodentia; Chinchillidae. The record is from RNAcentral.
CGAAGCCAAGCUAGAGGGAGACGCCGCACCCAGGGCUGUCAGGCUCUGGGACUCACGCGCUCUGCUAUUCACAGCCGUGUGACUCCUUGGGAAGGUCAGGGAGGGCUGCUGGGUGAGGCUCUGCCUGAGCUUGUGGAGAGAUGCAGCAGGCUAGAUAGAAGGAGCAACAUUGUUUCUGGCAGAAGCGACAACAUUUGCAAGGUUUCAGGGAUUUUGAGGAAGGCAGACACAGCACCUGACUCUUCCAAUAACAUCACCAAGGACAGCAAGGAAAUGAGAACCCAGCCUGGGCCUCCACCUGCCCUGGGGCGCAGGGAACGGGCAAGGGUAGCCUCAGGCCUGGGGGGAGGGCAGUGGGGUAGAUGGCAUCAGUGAGGUGUGGCCCAAAGGGGUCUGGGCGUCCUGAGACUCAUGCAGUCGCCCCUUGUGGAAGGAGGACCCCCCAGCGUGUGGGAGCUCAGCACCAAACACAGGCUGUGAACCCCGGAGCAGGGGUUGUGGCACAGUUUGUAGCAACCCUGGGGCAGGUGAGGGACCAAGGUCUAGGAGGAGCCUAGGUCUCCCAGUGGCCUUUGUCCUGCCAUGUGAAGAGAGGGACAAGGGCCCUUAUGGUCCUAUAUCCAAUUUCUCAGGUCCACGGGAGGAAUGGUGGCUGCUGGGUGAACAAAGAGCUGGUGACCUAGGACACCAGCUGCCCCCACCCAGCCGCAACGGGAGACUUCAGGGCAAUGAGGAUGCCCAGCUGCCCAUAGCCAGUGCCCACCCCACCACCCGCAGGUCCAGAGCCGACCAGGAGAUGGCGCUGCUCCCACGCCUGCUCCUCAUGGCCCUGCCCGCUCUGCGCAGGGGGCCCAUUGCGCAAGGGUCAGAGGAUACUGUCCCGCUGCAGACCCUGCGCUGCUACAAUGACUACACGAGCCGCAUCGUGUGCAGCUGGGCAGAGACGGCGGCUGCUGGGCAGCUCGUCAAGGUGACCCUCCGUCGGCGGUUGUUAAAAGAGUGAGUGAGGGGGACCAGGGUCUGAGGGUGCUGUUCUGUGUCUAGGGUGCCUGGCUUAG